RNAcentral lists this small RNA (83 nucleotides) under Marmota monax (woodchuck). The record is from RNAcentral. Lineage: Eukaryota; Metazoa; Chordata; Mammalia; Rodentia; Sciuridae.
GCUGGGUGUGGUGGCCCAGGCCUGUAAUCCCAGAUUCUUGGGAGGCUGAGGCAGGAGAAUUGCAAGUUUGAGACCAGCCUCAG